Molecule: long non-coding RNA, 1151 nt
Filed under: Homo sapiens (human)
Lineage: Eukaryota; Metazoa; Chordata; Mammalia; Primates; Hominidae
Description: non-protein coding lnc-VAMP2-5:1
Source: RNAcentral
CGGGAAGGAGGCGUUCGUCUAGAUUUGUCGGCUUGCGGGGAGACUUCAGGAGUCGCUGUCUCUGAACUUCCAGCCUCAGAGACCGCCGCCCUUGUCCCCGAGGGCCAUGGGCCGGGUCUCAGGGCUUGUGCCCUCUCGCUUCCUGACGCUCCUGGCGCAUCUGGUGGUCGUCAUCACCUUAUUCUGGUCCCGGGUAAGACCCACGGCUGCACUCAAUCCGUCCCCAUUCCCAUCUCUGAGUGGUCCUAGUCCUACCCUGCCCCCUCCCAGUGUCUUACCCUCUUGGGUUUUCUUGUUUCCCGCCGCCCCCAGGCCUGCCCUGCAGCCUGCCCCUUUUUCACUUCUCUUCCUGUGCCCUGCUCCCAGGACAGCAACAUACAGGCCUGCCUGCCUCUCACGUUCACCCCCGAGGAGUAUGACAAGCAGGACAUUCAGUGAGCUCUUGGGACGGGGUGGCCAGAACGAAGAGGUGGUGGGAGUGGAGGGGUCUUAGAAUAAGUCCAAAGGCCUGGGCCAGUCCACUUCCUCUCUGCAGGCUGGUGGCCGCGCUCUCUGUCACCCUGGGCCUCUUUGCAGUGGAGCUGGCCGGUUUCCUCUCAGGAGUCUCCAUGUUCAACAGCACCCAGAGCCUCAUCUCCAUUGGGGCUCACUGUAGUGCAUCCGUGGCCCUGUCCUUCUUCAUAUUCGAGCGUUGGGAGUGCACUACGUAUUGGUACAUUUUUGUCUUCUGCAGGUGUGGUAGCAUCCAAUAUUUGGGGAUGAGGGAGGAAGGUUGGCCCUAAACCUGAAGGUUUUUCCCCUACCCAGCCCUUUCCUCCAUGUGUGAGAUACCAGAUCCACUCAACAUCCUGUAGGCUUUUAAAGUUUCAUCCCCUACCCCCCAUGCCACCUGCCCUACACUUUCAGAGGUGGGGUCUCUGGUUUGGAGAUUUGGGUAUUUAUACUGAAAGGGUUUCUGAAUCUACCACUUGCCUUGGUAGUGCCCUUCCAGCUGUCACUGAAAUGGCUUUAUUCGUCACCGUCUUUGGGCUGAAAAAGAAACCCUUCUGAUUACCUUCAUGACGGGAACCUAAGGACGAAGCCUACAGGGGCAAGGGCCGCUUCGUAUUCCUGGAAGAAGGAAGGCAUAGGCUUCGGUUUUCCCCUCGGAA